GGAAAAGAAACUAACAAGGAUUCCCCUAGUAACUGCGAGUGAAGCGGGAAAAGCUCAAAUUUAAAAUCUGGCAGUCUUUGGCUGUCCGAGUUGUAGUCUGGAGAAGUGCUUUCCGCGCUGGACCGUGUACAAGUCUCUUGGAACAGAGCGUCAUAGAGGGUGAGAAUCCCGUCUUUGACACGGACUACCAGUGCUUUGUGAUGCGCUCUCAAAGAGUCGAGUUGUUUGGGAAUGCAGCUCAAAAUGGGUGGUAAAUUCCAUCUAAAGCUAAAUAUUGGCGAGAGACCGAUAGCGAACAAGUACCGUGAGGGAAAGAUGAAAAGCACUUUGGAAAGAGAGUUAAACAGUACGUGAAAUUGCUGAAAGGGAAACACUUGAAGUCAGUCGCGUUGGCCAGGACUCAGCCUUGCUCUUUUGCUUGGUGCAUUUUCUGGUUGACGGGCCAGCAUCGAUUUUGACCGACGGAAAAAGGCCAAGGGAAUGUGGCACCUUCGGGUGUGUUAUAGCCCUUGGUCACAUACGCCGGUUGGGAUCGAGGACCGCAGCACGCCUUUAUGGCCGGGGUUCGCCCACGUUCGUGCUUAGGAUGCUGGCGUAAUGGCUUUAAAUGACCCGUCUUGAAACACGGACCAAGGAGUCUAACAUGCCUGCGAGUGUUUGGGUGGAAAACCCGAGCGCGUAAUGAAAGUGAAAGUUGAGAUCCCUGUCAUGGGGAGCAUCAACGCCCGGACCUGAACUUUGGUGAUGGAUCUGCGGUAGAGCAUGUAUGUUGGGACCCGAAAGAUGGUGAACUAUGCCUGAAUAGGGUGAAGCCAGAGGAAACUCUGGUGGAGGCUCGUAGCGAUUCUGACGUGCAAAUCGAUCGUCAAAUUUGGGUAUAGGGGCGAAAGACUAAUCGAACC
RNAcentral lists this ribosomal RNA (902 nucleotides) under Fomitopsis fissa. Its description in RNAcentral is "Fomitopsis sp. JV-2022b partial large subunit ribosomal RNA". It matches the Rfam family "Eukaryotic large subunit ribosomal RNA", at positions 55 to 941 of the family's 3401-position model. Lineage: Eukaryota; Fungi; Basidiomycota; Agaricomycetes; Polyporales; Fomitopsidaceae. The record is from RNAcentral.